Non-coding RNA from Clostridium pasteurianum BC1, 172 nucleotides. Lineage: Bacteria; Bacillati; Bacillota; Clostridia; Eubacteriales; Clostridiaceae. The record is from Rfam.
UCCACUGUGAGGUGGAAUCUGAAGGAAGUCGGCGGCAAAACUCUGGUCUGACGGACAGAAACUACAUAUAAGGCAUAUGUCUGUGGGUAAGUUUGCUAUACAAAACAAAGCCCUAAACUAUCCGAAACAGGCGGUGUAAAUGUAGCAGAUAGAUGGAGUGAAAGAUUGCGUU